Triticum urartu is the source of this 4988-nucleotide non-coding RNA. NCBI's taxonomy places the organism in Eukaryota, Viridiplantae, Streptophyta, Magnoliopsida, Poales, Poaceae. The record is from RefSeq and is a predicted model, not a curated record.
AACCACGGACGCCUCCUCCUACCCAAACUAUCCCGCCUUGUGCCAGUUAUCCAUACACACCUCCUCCUCCAGCCCCACGCCCCGCCACCGCCGGCCCUCCGCCCUCGACGCCUCCUCCUCCCGCCCCACGCCCAGCCACCGCUGGGGAGCGGGUGCCGCCACUGCGCCCCGCUGGCCCUCCUCUCCCCCCGCCAUUGUCGGGGAGCGGGCACCACGCCACCGCUGGGGAGCGGGUGCCGCCGGUCUGCUGCUGCUUCCACCCAAUCCUUCCUCCUCUUUGUAUACGCCAAGAAUUCGAUUACCAUGGAUCAACACGUUCGUGCGGCUGUUUAUUCACUCAAGGGGCAGACAGAGCAGGGCGGAGUGGCUCUCGCUCCAGGGGCGGUUUUCGCGGCGAGGUGGCCAGUGCCAAGGAGAGCGAGCAGCAGAGCGUCCUAGAGACGUACAAUCCUGUCAGCAGGGGGAUCUAUGACGUCCUCAUUGUUCUUGGUGCUUCUCUGGCGCUCAGAUUGGUGUCGCGUGCUGUGCUACAUCGUUGGCCAGAAAAACAAGUCUGGUCCAUCCGGAGAGCAGCAUAAGUUAUUGGUCUAAACUGUUUGGGAUUCAGCAAAGGGAUAGCUGCAUACUGGCUGGUACAGAACAUUUGGGGACACUUGCAAUCCCUUAUCGGUACUUCGUUUUCGUUUGACGCAGCCAUAUUCGAAAAUAUAAUUGUUAUGUCCUGUUGUGUCAUGGUGGUUUGUGUUUAACCAGAAUUCAGAAUUAACUCAAGUUGACAAGUGCGAGUGCCUGCGAUAUUCUCAGGUUGCAGCUUCUCGAAUGCUGAAUGUUUAGUCUCUUCAGACCCUAGAUUUCCACCACUUGGACAGAGUCGAGCCAGCAUCCGUCACUCACGACAAUGACGGCCACCUCGGUCCUCUCCCCCUCCUCUUUUGGCUGCUGGUAAUUUUGCCGUUGCUUCCUGGCUUCAAUUACCAGUUUAAAUAUGCAAAUAUUCACCUCCUUGUGCAAUUCAGGUCCGUUUAAAUUAUACUGCCAUGGUUUAAAAUCUGGAUAAAAUUACUAUAGCAGUACUGUGAUUCGCUCUGUGACUUCUCUUUCGCACUUGGAACAACAGAAUAGAAAUUGGUUGCUGAGGUAAGGUAAUCAAGAAAAAUCCCCAUUGUUUUUUUUUCUGAUUGUGGUUAUAGUCUAUUUUAAGCCCACAUAAUUUUCUGUUGUUGUGAAUUGUAUUCACCUGCAUGUAGAAAUGGUAAGAUAAAAUUGUUUCACAUUUGAGUAUAUAAUAAAGUUCAGGAUAUUGGGAAGCUUUCUCACAUCAUGCAAGGAUAUAAAACCUAGAAAACUUCAAACAAUAGUGAAGCCAUCACACAACGUCUCCUAGGAGCAUCUCAAUUGUCCUUCGAUAAACUUAAUAUAAGCAGGUUAACUGGAGUGAAUUUUCUUCUCUUUGCUUUGCAUCACUUUCAUGAAGUCUUUGGUACCCUAAAUCUUUACAAGGAAGCUAGGCCCGUGUAUUUUUGUAAUGAUAUUUAGUUCUAUAGGCAACCUGCUUGCAUAUUAUAUUAUAACCUCUUUUUAACUUGCCUUUAAUAACAGACAUGAUGGUACACAAAUUAGUUUUAGGAUGAUACUACUAAGAUGAAUCUUACCAGAUGUACCAUGGAAACAAAUAAUCAUUCACGAGAGUGCACCAAGAACAAUUGUUUUGGACUUUUAUGAAGUUAAAUUCUGUGACUUUGUACAUAAAUGCUUAGGUACAUUACAACAUAUAAUUUCAUAAGUACAAUUUUUAAACGCCAAGUAGAAAUUCAUUUGUACUUUUUUGCCUUUUAUGAUUGAAUAUUUUUCUAUUUAUACAUGAAUUUUCACGUGCAAGCUUACUAAUUUGCUUAAGUUCAGCAAGUGUUGGUCGACAGGCUAUGUUCUGACGUUGUAUGUUCAUGAUUUAUAAUCAUGAAAGAUUAGAUGAAGCAACUUGGGGCAAGCUUAAAAUCAUAUCUAAUAGAUAUCUUUUCUUGUUACAUCCGUAGCUAGAUUUUCAAGUUGUUAGCCAUACAAAAAGUAAGCUAGAUUUUCAAGCUACUUGUGUGUAGUACUCUGGUUUUCAGGUUUAAUUCUUCUUACAUGUAUCUGUUGUUGUAUUUAAAAAAGCAUCCAGAUCAAUGACUUCAUAUGAUAUUUUCCUGCAUUUUUGUUUAUGUACAAAAAGGGAAAUUUUCCUACAACUUCAACCACGUAAUCCGUAGUUUGUUGGUUUGUUUCUAAUAAUAUGCGUGAUCUUUUUCCUUUGAAGUUCGAACCUUUUGAUUUUAGGGAUGUCAUUUAUAAAGAUAUGGGAGAUAUUUUCAGUUCUUUGGCACUUCUUGCUUCUGGAAACUACGCACAGGUGGUGACGAGCAGAUGAAUGGUGACAGUAAGAAGAGGAGGAUAUGGGGACAUUCGACGGUGGCGGCGGCCGAUAUAAUCGUGCCUAUCAUCCUCAAGUUCUCCACCUAGAAGGGCGCCGUUAUCAGUGGGAGCAGAGCAGUCGGCGGGUUCCUGGCUUACCUGCCUCACAACAAGGCGGGCACGGCUGGGCUAGGCAGCCUGGACAUCCAGGAUUCACAAGUCGUGGUCCACUCCUGCUCGGAACGCUACAUGUUGGCAUUAUUAUAAACUCCCCCCUCCCUCACACACACACACACACAAGACAACCCUCCAACAAAUCAGUGGGUCGAUCUUGUGUGAAAAUUCCUUCAGGGAUAAUACAAAUUUCUGGUUAUUGUGACAGCUAAAGGUUUACACUGGUCAUUACGAAAAUAUUGUCUGCUCGAGUUGGUGAAAUGAAGGUUGUGGAUUAAGUGGAAUUGUAAUGUACACAUUAUUGGUUGCACCUAUAACAUUUUUGGUAAAUUGAUAUUACAACGAGCAACAAUUUUCAGAGCAAAGAAUAUUAUAUGUUCUAGCAACGGUUUACAAAUCCCUUUUUGUAGAGGAUACUUUGCUUUAUUCAAUGCAGGAAAUAUUUUAGUCCUUACUAGCUUCGUACUGUUGUAAGCACACUGUUCUUUUUGUUCAGUCCAAAGGUUGGUGAACCACAUGUUAAACUUCCAUUGGAAGCCGUAUUACAAAUACCUAUCGUGCAACCAGUUGUCGUACUUUCUUCUUCACUAAUAUUAUUUUAUGAAUUUUUCUAAACCUGGAAGAAGCUUCCGCUAUGAUGUUGUUUGAACCUGAAAAAAGCUUGUACUGCAUUGAUAACUGAACCUGAAAAUUGCUGCAUCCUAUAUACAUUGGUAGAGUAAAAAAUAACUUGAUUUAUGUAGGACUUGUUUUGGAUUAAGUGGAUAGGUGAUGCACUAUUCUUGAUUGCAGCUGGUGCUUUUUUGGUAAUUUGAUAACACCACGAGCAGCAAUCGAGUUUGAAAGCCAGAAAACACACAAAAGAUGUAAAUGGGAGUACUGCCAGUUUAGGAGCCAAGUAACCAUUACUAGAGAAACGUUGGAGGUAGAAUCAGCUUCAAGCUCGAGUACCCAAUGGUAGAGAAGUAGAAAGGAGGCACAAGAUGGAACUAUGAACUCCGAUAGUAACAUUUUUAUUUCACCAAGUUAGGUUAAUGAUGUUCAGCUUAAUGGACAACUCUACAGACACUUAGUAGAACACAAGCUUUUGUUUUUGACUUCAAUAUAAGGUGCCCUAUGUACUAUUUUUAAGGUGUCAUGCUUCCCAAGAGAAUAUAUCUACAUGUAAAGAACUAGCUAAAUGAACUGGCUCAUCAAUUUCAAUCUAAAUGAACUAGCUCAUAAGCAUUCUUUGAUUUUGCUUCAUUAGUUUUGUUGUAGCAUAGUUCCAUUAAUAUUUGUGAUACUUAUUUUCUGUAUUAUUUACAAUUUUCAUUUAGCAAAGUGAUGUCCCUCUUGAAUAAUCAUAUGCUGCUAUCAGUUCAGACAUUGCACUUAGCAAAUGUAAUCUUUUAUGAGAUUAGAUGUGAUUUUCUGUUUCCUUAUACCGAUUCUAACAAUAAUAGGAUAUUGCAUACAAUAUUCUAAUGUUAAGCUAUUGUAAGUACUCACUAUGGUUUCAGCAUGAUGCUUGGUAUAUGGAGUUUAUAGUAAUAAUCCGAUGCAUAAGCCUUUCUAAAUUAAUUCAACUUGUCUGAAUUUUACUUUCCUCUCUUCUCUCGUGCUUAAGUUCCUUGCUUGUGCUUAGUAUGAUGUGGAAGAGAGUUGAUGCCCGCCAAGUUCCAACUUUGAAGGAUGUGAGUAUAAUUUUACCUAAACCAAGCACUCCAAGUAGCAUAUCCCGAAUGAGAUGAUGUAUUUUUUCUUCUUCUAGCAUCGUCGAUUACCAGCUUGUGUUUCAAAAAGCACAGAUAGGUGACUACCUUUGAAACCCACUGAAGCAUCUACAGGAACUUGUCUGAUUAUUUUGCUUUUAGUUUAUUGCACUCAUGGAAUGCGAAAGAUCUAAAUCAACCAGUUUGCAAGUUCAAUAUUCAUUGUUUCACAAUUUUAAAUUCUACUAUGUGAAAACUCCAAAAUAUUGUCUUAACUAUUUUCAUUCAGGAUGGUGACCAGAUAAGGAAGCAAUUUUUGAUACACCUAUUCAACUACAUCAACAUUCGGGAUGUUUACGAGAAUUGAUUAGCCUUAUUAGGAAUUACCAGGAUAAGUUUUUGGCUCUCUGCAUACAAUGAGUCGAUGAUGUAUUAAAGUGUUUUCUUGAUUUGUAAUAGUACUUUUUAGUGCAAUCAAAAUAUCUGUAUGUGUGUUAAUUCUUACAUAUGUUUAUGUUAGUCGAUAGGUGCAUUUGCACAUGCACGCUUACUAGUUAGUAUAAGGAAACAUCAGCCUUAAAACAUAGCAAAACUUCUCACCUCGUGGGGAAGUCAAAAUAACUCCAGCCCCCGAUCCCUCUAGCUGCCUAGACCCGUCAAAGUGAAUAGUCCAGUAAGUGUUAUCCGGCUUCUCCUCAGGCGUUUACUAUUCUGUCCAGUCAUUGAUGA